Molecule: ribosomal RNA, 597 nt
Filed under: fungal sp. ARIZ L206
Lineage: Eukaryota; Fungi
Description: eukaryotic LSU rRNA
Rfam family: 5.8S ribosomal RNA (bases 226-379)
Source: RNAcentral
UGGAAGUAAAAAGUCGUAACAAGGUCUCCGUUGGUGAACCAGCGGAGGGAUCAUUACAGAGUUGCAAAACUCCAAACCAUUGUGAACUUACCUUUGCCGUUGCUUCGGCGGGCGGCCCGGGCCCUGUGCCCGGCGCCCCUCGGCCCCACUCGGGGCGCCCGCCGGAGGUAAACCAAACUCUUGAAUUGUAUGGCCUCUCUGAGUCUUCUGUACUGAAUAAGUCAAAACUUUCAACAACGGAUCUCUUGGUUCUGGCAUCGAUGAAGAACGCAGCGAAAUGCGAUAAGUAAUGUGAAUUGCAGAAUUCAGUGAAUCAUCGAAUCUUUGAACGCACAUUGCGCCCGCCAGUAUUCUGGCGGGCAUGCCUGUUCGAGCGUCAUUUCAACCAUCAAGCCCCGGGCUUGUGUUGGGGACCUGCGGCUGCCGCAGGCCCUGAAAACCAGUGGCGGGCUCGCUAGUCACUCCGAGCGUAGUAGUUUACACCUCGCUCAGGGCGUGCUGCGGGUUCCGGCCGUUAAAAGCCUUAUUUUACCCAAGGUUGACCUCGGAUCAGGUAGGAAGACCCGCUGAACUUAAGCAUAUCAAUAAGCGGAGGAA